AUGGGUAUAGCUCAGUGGCAGACCACGUGCUUCACUUGCACGAGGUCCUGGGUCCAAUCCCCAGUACCUCUG
This 72-nucleotide transfer RNA is filed under the name Camelus bactrianus (Bactrian camel). It matches the Rfam family "tRNA". From Rfam's summary of the family: Transfer RNA (tRNA) molecules are approximately 80 nucleotides in length. Their secondary structure includes four short double-helical elements and three loops (D, anti-codon, and T loops). Further hydrogen bonds mediate the characteristic L-shaped molecular structure. tRNAs have two regions of fundamental functional importance: the anti-codon, which is responsible for specific mRNA codon recognition, and the 3' end, to which the tRNAs corresponding amino acid is attached (by aminoacyl-tRNA synthetases). tRNAs cope with the degeneracy of the genetic code in two manners: having more than one tRNA (with a specific anti-codon) for a particular amino acid; and 'wobble' base-pairing, i.e. permitting non-standard base-pairing at the 3rd anti-codon position. The record is from Rfam by way of RNAcentral. Lineage: Eukaryota; Metazoa; Chordata; Mammalia; Artiodactyla; Camelidae. RNAcentral also lists the same sequence under 1 other name.